AAUAGUGGACGUAUCUGAGGCGGCUGACAGACGACAGGCUGGUCCGGAGCGGUGUCUCCAAGCGCAACCAUGAAGUUGAAGGACACAAAAUCGAAGCAAAAGCUACCACAUCAUAACAAAUUUCAAACAAAAGGCAUUAAAGUUGUGGGAAAAUGGAAGCAGGUGCAGAUUGACCCGAAUAUGUUUGCAGAUGGACAAAUGGAUGACUUAGUGUGCUUUGAGGAACUGACAGAUUACCGGUUGGUCUCCCCUGCCAAGAAUCCCUCCAGUCUCUUUUCAGAGGAUCCCAAGAAGCAAAAGGCACAAAUAGUUUCAGAAGAGGAAGAAGGAGAGUCUAGCUCCCCAAAGAAAAAGAUCAGAUUGAAGAAGAAUAAAGAUAUGGUGCUGGUUACUGAAGAAACCUCCACCCAGAAAGAGCUUGAGGUUGAAGAUGGUGAACCAAAGCCCCAGGGCAGUGAUGUCACUGUUUGUCCUGGUCCAGAGGAAAGGAAGAUAGUAUCAGAAACCCUGGUACAGACUGUUCCAAAAAAGAAGAAAAACAAGGGGGAAAAAAAAUCAGAGCCUUCUCAAAACACUGCCCCUAAGGUGCCAAAAAAAGCUAAGACAUGGAUGCCUGAAGUACAUGACCAGAAAGCAGAUGUAUCAGCCUGGAAGGACUUGUUUGUGCCCAAGCCAGUUCUCCAAGCACUCAGCUUUCUCGGUUUCUCUGCACCUACACCAAUCCAAGCCCUGACCUUGGUGCCCGCCAUUCGUGACAGGUUGGACAUCCUUGGGGCUGCCGAGACAGGAAGUGGGAAGACCCUUGCCUUUGCCAUCCCAAUGAUUCAUGCAGUGUUGCAGUGGCAGAAGAAGAAGACCUUGCCCACCCCAAGUAACACCGGACUGCCACUUGGAGAAGCUGGAUCACCAAGUAAGGCUGGAACUGAGUCUGGAGUGUUGCCUGAUGAUGAGACUGCAGUUGAGACUGUAGCACUCCCCAGUGAUGCUGAGUCUAAGGCCAGAGCCAAAACAGUUGCCCCCAUCUCAGACCAGCCGUUGCCCUGUGAUGAUGAUGCUGGUGAAGGGCCCUCUCUGAUGGAAGAGAAGCCUGUCCCCAAACUGAUGGAGGAUGGAGAAGAAAUGCUUGAUGGAGAACAUAUGGGCGAGUUCAAACAAGAGUUGGAUAGCAAAACUGCUCUCUGUAAAACACAUCCAGGGCGUCCUCUGCUUGGACUGGUGCUGACUCCUACACGAGAGCUGGCCAUCCAGGUCAAACAGCAUAUUGAUGCUGUGGCCAGGUUUACAGGGAUUAAAACUGCUAUUUUGGUUGGUGGAAUGUCUACACAGAAACAGCAGAGGAUGUUGAACCGUCAUCCUGAGAUUGUGAUUGCCACGCCAGGACGGCUCUGGGAGCUUGUUAAAGAAAAGCACCCUCAUUUAAGCAACCUUCGGCAGCUCAGGUGCCUGGUAGUGGAUGAGGCAGACCGGAUGGUUGAGAAAGGCCAUUAUGCUGAGUUGUCACAGCUGCUGGAGAUGCUGAAUGGCUCCCAGUACAACCCAAAGAGACAGACACUUGUUUUUUCUGCUACCCUGACCCUGGUACAUCAAGUUCCUGCUCGACUUCUUCAUAAGAAGCAUGUUAAAAAAAAUGGACAAAACUGCCAAACUUGACCUCCUCAUGCAGAAGAUUGGCAUGAGGGGCAAGCCUAAAGUCAUUGAUCUCACAAGGAAUGAGGGCACAGUAGAGUCGCUGACAGAGACCAAGAUCCAUUGUGAGACAGAGGAGAAAGACUUUUACCUGUAUUACUUCCUGAUGCAGUACCCAGGCCGCAGUUUAGUGUUUGCCAACAGCAUCUCCUGCAUCAAACGCCUCUCCGGACUCCUCAAAGUCCUAGAUAUCAUGCCGUUGACGCUCCAUGCCUGCAUGCACCAGAAGCAGAGGCUCAGGAACCUGGAGCAGUUUGCCCGACUCGAAGAUUGUGUUCUCUUGGCAACGGAUGUGGCAGCCCGAGGUCUGGAUAUUCCUAAAGUGCAGCAUGUCAUCCAUUACCAGGUCCCUCGAACCUCGGAGAUUUACAUCCACCGAAGUGGUCGGACUGCUCGUGCCACCAGUGAAGGCCUCAGCCUGAUGCUCAUUGGGCCUGAGGAUGUAGUCAACUUUAAAAAGAUUUACAAGACCCUGAAGAAAGAUGAGGACAUCCCACUCUUCCCUGUGCAGACAAAGUACAUGGAUAUAGUCAAGGAGCGAAUCCGCCUAGCUCGACAGAUUGAGAAAGCUGAGUACCGGAACUUCCAGGCUUGUCUGCAUAACUCUUGGAUUGAGCAGGCAGCAGCUGCCCUCGAGAUUGAACUAGAAGAAGAUAUGUAUAAAGGAGGAAAAGUAGACCAGCAAGAAGAGCGUCGGCGACAGAAGCAGAUGAAGGUCCUGAAGAGAGAGCUGCACCAUCUGCUUUCCCAGCCAUUGUUCAAGGACCACCUCAAAACCAGGUACCCCACUCAGUCCGGCAGGCCUCCUCUGCCCAUGGCUGCCCCGAGGAAUGGCGAGUCUGCAUUGAGCUGCCUCUCCAGACAGAAGAAGAAACCCAGACGACAGCAGCAGCAGGGACCACCGCAGCCAAGUACAAGUGCACUGUGAUGGCUGCAGUCAGCUGCAGUGGCGCCUGCACGGUGCUGUCAGUUCUCUGCUGAUCUGUGAAUCUCUCACUCCACCACUCUCAUUAAGAAAAUCUGCUCUUCCACCCUGUAGCAGGAGAGACCCCAUGCAGAUUUGUGUUGUGCAGUAAGAAUUCUAUGCAGUACCUUCCUCUUCGUAUUCCAGAGUUUGCAGGCUUCU
Molecule: RNA transcript, 2812 nt
Organism: Octodon degus (degu)
Lineage: Eukaryota; Metazoa; Chordata; Mammalia; Rodentia; Octodontidae
Gene name: ATP-dependent RNA helicase DDX24 pseudogene
Exons: 1
Source: RefSeq, a predicted model, not a curated record